This 459-nucleotide ribosomal RNA is filed under the name uncultured bacterium. Its description in RNAcentral is "partial 16S ribosomal RNA". It matches the Rfam family "Bacterial small subunit ribosomal RNA", at positions 339 to 795 of the family's 1533-position model. The record is from RNAcentral.
CUACGGGAUGCACCAGUAAGGAAUAUUGCGCAAUGGAGGCAACUCUGACGCAGCCAUGCCGCGUGCAGGAAGAAGGCCUUAUGGGUCGUAAACUGCUUUUAUUUAGGAAUAAACCCCCGAACGUGUUCGGGGCUGAAGGUACUAAACGAAUAAGCACCGGCUAACUCCGUGCCAGCAGCCGCGGUAAUACGGAGGGUGCAAGCGUUAUCCGGAGUUAUUGGGUUUAAAGGGUGCGCAGGCGGGCUAUUAAGUCAGUGGUGAAAUCCCGGGGCUCAACUCCGGAACUGCCAUUGAUACUGAUAGUCUUGAGUUUGGUUGAAGUGGGCGGAAUGUAGCAUGUAGCGGUGAAAUGCAUAGAUAUGCUACAGAACACCAAUCGCGAAGGCAGCUCACUAAGCCAAAACUGACGCUCAUGCACGAAAGCGUGGGGAUCAAACAGGAUUAGAUACCCGUGUAGUC